GCCCUCAAAGAGUAAAAGAAGAAAUAAACAAACAAAACAAACAAACAAACAAAACUACAGAUGGUGGCCCCUGCAUGUCAAGGUCAGCACUCAGAGUCCCAAGCUCCUGAGCAUCACAGCCUGCCUCCAUUUCUAGGCACAUUCUCACACAUCCCAAUUAUAUGGCAGGUUCUUUGAACUUAUAUCUUAACUGUGGCUUACCACAGGGUCUUGUUCUUUGCCAGCAUAUUUCUGUGACACUUGCAAGCCUCUGCUAUCCUAGCUGGUAUUGUCCACAAUGAACAGAGCUUUUGACCAUGUGUGAGGGGUUUAGGUGCUGAGCUAAGAAUCAGGACCCCUAGACAUACUGGGGUUCACUUUUCCUGGAGACUGUAGGAGACUGCAUGCUUGGCUUCUUUUGAUCUGCCAACUUCUCUUUAAAUGAUGGCUAAUGGUGUAUUCUCUGUGAAGUUAUAGGGGGUCACUGGUAUAAGCCAAGUGAGUCAAUGGAUUUGAAAAUGCUGUGGUGAAAAUGUUCAGCUAAACAUGCUAGCUUGUUGUCAUUAUUGCACUCACUUCUCUGACAUCUGUGAAUAGUGAGAACCAUGAGGGCAGAGUGGGGGGCCAUUUGAAUCAACACAACAAAACUCUCCAAGUUGCCUCCUGCCUGAAUGGGACAUCCACUCACCCACAGUGGACAUAGAGAAAUCCAGCUAUGAUACCACAUGACCUCCAGCAUUCAUGUGUAAAAGACAAAGUGUUUUAUAGCCCUGUGCUCUGUCACAGUGCACACCCUCCUCUAGAGCAUCAGUUUUACUUGUUUCCAAAUCCAACAGGUCCUAUUAUCUGUUUUCCUCAAUCUGGUGUCUUUACAAAAAACAGAUGAGAGGAAGUGAUUGUUUCUGGAGCAGAGAAAAAUUGUGCUGAUGAAGAAGACACAUUGACUCAGAGAAAAGAGCAGUCUUUUGCCAUGAGGACCAGCCAUUAUGCAGAUGAGGACAUCAUGGCUUGGAGAGGUGUUGUGCCCCAUCAGGCCAGCAAGUGGAAGCAUUGGGACCUCAGAGAACCCCUUUUGUGCACAAUGCUGACUGAGCUUCUGCUGGUGUUUGCAUAGAGUCCAGCUUGAUAUGGCUGAAAGGAAUGCCAAGAAGCUCCUCUCCUGAGUGAUCUCUUCAAGUUGACAACUGAAUUGACAUUAGGCAUCACAGAGUCUACCUAAAACAAGAUAAAGAAAAAAUAUUUUUAGAUGGGAAAAAGCUUGGACAGGAGGAUAGGAGGCAGGGUGAUCACUUCAUCAUGGACAGCUAGGGACUUCUUUUCUAUGAUGACAGAGAUCAAACCUGCUUUGCAGCACCCAUCAGGGACACUGAGCAUCCUAAUGCAACAGUGACUCAAGCUACAUCAUUUCCCCUGGUCAGACCAUACCUUCAGUUUUUAGUUUGAGCAACGGGGAAGAGGCCUUUCCAGUAGAAGACAAUAAAUUGACUAUACAAGGAACCUGGAGCUGAUACAGGUCAAGACGUAGAACUCUCAGCUCCUUCUCCAGCACCAUG
Molecule: long non-coding RNA, 1532 nt
Organism: Peromyscus leucopus (white-footed mouse)
Lineage: Eukaryota; Metazoa; Chordata; Mammalia; Rodentia; Cricetidae
Exons: 6
Source: RefSeq, a predicted model, not a curated record